RNAcentral lists this ribosomal RNA (459 nucleotides) under uncultured bacterium. RNAcentral's name for it is "partial 16S ribosomal RNA". It matches the Rfam family "Bacterial small subunit ribosomal RNA", at positions 338 to 795 of the family's 1533-position model. The record is from RNAcentral.
CCUACGGGAGGCAGCAGUGAGGAAUAUUGGUCAAUGGACGAGAGCCUGAACCAGCCAAGUCGCGUGAGGGACGACGGUCCUAUGGAUUGUAAACCUCUUUUGUCGGGGAACAAAGGCGCCCACGGGUGGGCGGAUGAGUGUACCCGAAGAAAAAGCAUCGGCUAACACCGUGCCAGCAGCCGCGGUAAUACGGAGGAUGCAAGCGUUAUGCGGAUUUAUUGGGUUUAAAGGGUGCGUAGGCGGACAGUCAAGUCAGCGGUAAAAAUGCGGUGCUCAACGCCGUACAGCCGUUGAAACUGGCAGUCUUGAUUGGGCGAGAAUUCUGCGGAAUGCGUGUUGUAGCGGUGAAAUGCUUAGCUAUCACGCAGAACUCCGAUUGCGAAGGCAGCAUACCGGCGCCCUACUGACGCUGAGGCACGAACGCGUGGGUAUCGAACAGGAUUAGAUACCCUUGUAGUC